UGCUUUGAUUUGCUGACAAGACAAACACCUUGAAACAUACAUUGUAAUCUCCAUCAUGACUUCUCAUAAAUAAAGACUAUGGAGAUCUCUAUACAUUUUAGUGCUACCGGGAUGCAUGGUGUACUUUGAAUUACGAUCUUCCUUCAGGAUUUGAGUCGUGAUAUCUGGGUCAUUUGAAACACAUACUCUAUCCCAAAUCUCAAUAGGCCAUCAAACAAAAUAUGAAAAUUCGGCCUCAAUCCCUUUUCUACUUCAUUCCUCGAAUAUAUUAAAUGUGAAUAUUGAUGUCAUCCUUUCCAAAUUUGAUGAACGAGAACUGAUUAAACAUAGAUAGAGUACAUCAAUAUCAAUGAGUCUUGCCCAUUUCUCAUAAUAUUCAAAUCAUAAUUCUUUUAUAAUAAUCAUAGUAUCAAAGAUGGAAUUUUGAUUAUUAAGGCGUGCAUGUCUGUGAUUAUGAUGUAACUAUACGAGGAGGUAAGACGAGAGAAUGGAGGUGAUUACGGGACCCACGAGAAGAUGAAGCAAGAGGACUAGAUGUCCGCGUCAUCCAAGAUUCCUAAAUGACAUCAAAGAAAACUUUUCAUCGAUCUGUAUAUAAUACACUAAACCUCAAUAUAAUUUUGCACAUCAAAUGUAUCAGAUAUCUCAGUGAUCCACAAAUCUUGUUCAGAUACAACAUCUGUCGCGUGCCCCAAAUAAUCACAUUCAGGAGGUGUGAGCCUAUCUUAGAAUCCAUAUUAAUAAAAUUUCAUCAACAAUCUACUCCAGGAUCCAAUCUACAUUUGAGGACACUAAAAACCAUUAAAGUCAUAAUUCGAACCCAUAAUCCACAAUUCAUAGGCCUGUGUAGUUAUAAUCAAACACCAAAUCACUCGAUGAUUCAUAAAAUCGAAAGCCAACUCGACUAAACGAUAACCACAUCAUAAAUCCAUAAGCGCGAAAAUCUAUACAAUCACAAAACCAACGUUUACCACAGGUUCGUAUCAUUUUACAAAUUAAACUUCUUCUACUUCGAUCCCUCUUCUCUUCUCUUAUCAAGUUACGUUGGUAGUAGCAAGUUUCUGCUUUGAUAUGCCGACAAGUCAAACACUUUGAAAACAUACAUUGCAAUCACCUUCUUCAAACCUUCUCACGAAUAAUGACUUUGGAGAUCUCUAUACAACUUAGUGUACCAGAAUGCAUGUUGUACUUUGAAUUAUGACCUUGCUUCAGNNN
This 1215-nucleotide long non-coding RNA is filed under the name Musa acuminata (dwarf banana). Its description in RNAcentral is "long non-coding RNA (MACU_LNC010933)". Lineage: Eukaryota; Viridiplantae; Streptophyta; Magnoliopsida; Zingiberales; Musaceae. The record is from RNAcentral.